Molecule: ribosomal RNA, 403 nt
Filed under: uncultured bacterium
Lineage: Bacteria
Description: bacterial SSU rRNA
Rfam family: Bacterial small subunit ribosomal RNA
Source: RNAcentral
AGCGAACGCUGGCGGCAGGCCUAACACAUGCAAGUCGAACGGACCCUUCGGGGUUAGUGGCGGACGGGUGAGUAACACGUGGGAACGUGCCUUUUGGUUCGGAACAACUCAGGGAAACUUGAGCUAAUGCCGAAUGUGCCCUUCGGGGGAAAGAUUUAUCGCCAUUAGAGCGGCCCGCGUCUGAUUAGCUUGUUGGUGAGGUAAUGGCUCACCAAGGCUUCGAUCAGUAGCUGGUCUGAGAGGAUGAUCAGCCACAUUGGGACUGAGACACGGCCCAAACUCCUACGGGAGGCAGCAGUGGGGAAUCUUGCGCAAUGGGCGAAAGCCUGACGCAGCCAUGCCGCGUGAAUGAUGAAGGUCUUAGGAUUGUAAAAUUCUUUCACCGGGGACGAUAAUGACGGUA